AACGAACGCUGGCGGCAUGCCUAACACAUGCCAGUCGAACGAGACCUUCGGGUCUAGUGGCGCACGGGUGCGUAACGCGUGGGAACCUUCCCUUAGGUUCGGAAUAACUCUCAGAAAGGGGUGCUAUUACCGGAUAAUGUCUUCGGACCAAAGAUUUAUCGCCUUUGGAUGGGCCCGCGUUGGAUUAGCUAGUUGUUAGGGUAAAAGCCGACCAAGGCGACGAUCCAUAGCUGGUCUGAGAGAAUGAUCAGCCACACUGGGACUGAGACGCGGCCCAGACUCCUACGGGAGGCAGCAGUGGGGAAUAUUGGACAAUGGGCGAAAGCCUGAUCCAGCAAUGCCGCGUGAGUGAUGAAGGCCUUAGGGUUGUAAAGCUCUUUUACCCGGGAUGAUAAUGACAGUACCGGGAGAAUAAGCCCCGGCUAACUCCGUG
Molecule: ribosomal RNA, 433 nt
Filed under: uncultured bacterium
Lineage: Bacteria
Description: partial 16S ribosomal RNA
Rfam family: Bacterial small subunit ribosomal RNA
Source: RNAcentral